This is a non-coding RNA of Collariella sp. IMI 366227, 73 nucleotides long. The record is from the annotation of a GenBank genome assembly. NCBI's taxonomy places the organism in Eukaryota, Fungi, Ascomycota, Sordariomycetes, Sordariales, Chaetomiaceae.
GGGGCUUUGGCGCAAUUGGUAGCGCGUUCGACUCCAGAUCGAAAGGUUAUCCGUUCAAAUCGGGUAGGCCUCA